Drosophila virilis is the source of this 764-nucleotide non-coding RNA. The record is from RefSeq and is a predicted model, not a curated record. NCBI's taxonomy places the organism in Eukaryota, Metazoa, Arthropoda, Insecta, Diptera, Drosophilidae.
CGGAUGGCUCAUGUGUAGUCCCAUCCAGUGCCCGCAUUUCGCACAAUCUAUAUCAACAAUGCUACAACCUCUUCACUAACACAUACCUACACAACACAAAACGAACCAGAAAAUCGAUAACAUCAGACAAUCGGAACGACUUACGAAUGAACAACACCAACAGCUGUGACAACAAGAAAAUGUAAAGAACAAAAGUGAAGCGUGUCCCGGCUCCGGACCCAGCGUACCCGCCCUACCCGUGGCGAUCACCUGAUCUCGUCUCUCUUCUUUUUUACAGAUUUUAUUUUAACAUAAUCAAAUGGAACAGACGACCAUACGGCCAAAGGUUUUUGCCAGUCGCCGCAAAAAAAGGAAUGGAAGCAAUUAUGAGGCAAUCGUUGCACCGACUAAGGAACACAAAUACCUUUAAACGGGUAUGCAGCGAUAAUCAGUCGUGCAGCAGUUAGGGAGUCUGCAUAUGAAUCUGCCGUUAUUUGGGGCAGGAAUGGACGAAAUGGAACAGACUCAUUCGGAUGAUGGCCGUUUCUUCUUGAUGAGUGCGCCGAGGCCUAGCCGCACUUAGGACCUCCGGCGUAGACUUUAAUAGCUGUGCGUUCACCAAAUUGCUGAGGUGACUUUCAUAGAGUGUUGUUUUCGUCGGUUUAAUGUUGUACGAUAUUAUGCUUUAUUAUAACCGUGUGUGUGUUUGAAAGUCCCAGGUAUUAUUUGAAUGCUGUCAUUUUUUGCAAUAUGUUUGCUCUUAAUAAAUUUGGCCUCGAAAUUUA